RNAcentral lists this long non-coding RNA (903 nucleotides) under Marmota monax (woodchuck). The record is from RNAcentral. Lineage: Eukaryota; Metazoa; Chordata; Mammalia; Rodentia; Sciuridae.
GCUGCUUCUCCACCGUCUUGGGAUGUGCAGAAAAGCCCAUGGGUAGGGCAUCUCCUGCGGAAUCAGAGCAGAUGUGGCUUGCAGGUAUGCCAUCGCUGGCUAUCCUGAGUUGGGGCACUUGCCCUGGUGACUGCCUUGAACUCUCCCCAGAAGAGGGGCUCGGUGCGAAGAUGGCUCCUUCCCCAUCGGGGAGCAGGUGCAGCAGGGGAGAUGAGUUUAAGGAGAGGCAAGGCUAAUGGUCUCUGCUCAAUCUGGGGAUCUCUGGGUCUAGUGGCAGUCCCACCCAGAGCCCCACCAUUGUGCCUUCGUCCCCAAACUUCCCUCCAGAGAGAGGUGUCAGAGCAGAACCUGGAGUGGCUCCUGAGCCGGGAUUUCUAUCCUGGAGUCCACUGCUAGUGCUGUCCAGGUAGGGACCUGAGCAGGCAGCCCUCGGCAGCUGUGGAAGGACAAGAGGUCCCUGUGGCCCCUGGUGGGUCUGGAAUGUCACAAAGCAGGUGGGGGGGUGGUGGAUGGUCUGUUUUCUAGAAGGUUCUUGGACUCUUUGGGGAGAUUCGGCUCUGGCUUGUCAGAGGCACAGUGUCCUGACCCCCGCUCCUCUUCUGGACCUCCUCUUUCUUUCCACAUGCAGCACUUUACUUUAAAGUCACUGUUGCCGUUCUCCCUGUCUGAACACUGGCAUUUCUAAGUGAUUUCUUUUCUCCCUCCCUCCCUCUCUUCCGUCCUUCCUUAACACUGGGGAUUGAACCCAGGGGCACUUUACCAUUGAGCCACAUCCCCAGCCCUUUUCAUUUUUAGUUUUAGGACAAGGUCUCACUAAUUACCCAGCCUGACCUCAAACUUGGGCUCCCCCUGCCUUGACCUCCUGAGUCUCUGGGAUCAUGGGCACGUGCCACCACACCCAGC